Long non-coding RNA from Gadus morhua (Atlantic cod), 2226 nucleotides. The record is from Ensembl. Lineage: Eukaryota; Metazoa; Chordata; Actinopteri; Gadiformes; Gadidae.
CAGCCCCCCAGCUUCCCCGCCUUCCCCUCUCUCCAGCCCCCCUGCUCUCUCUGCUUCCCCGCCCCCACACCCUCUUCUCCCCAGCCCCACUGCCCCUCCUGCAUCUCCAGUCAAAUCCACCAACCCUCAGUCAGGGACUAUUCAGCUCCUCUGCUGUUUCACAGACCUCCCUCAGCAUGAGAUUGAAGACAUCCUAAGGAAGAUGAAGCCCUCCAACUGUGACCUGGACCCAUUUCCCUCAACCCUGAUAAAAAGUCACUCCUCUGUAGGGCUGGGUAUCGAAUUUCGAUCCGGUUAUGGCACCGACCGAAAUGCUCCGAUCCUAUCGAAUAUCAAAACAUUAAUAGUUUUCCGGUGCCGUAUUUCGAUACUCAAUGAAAUUAAUCCCAGCCUGUCUGCCAAUAGUAAUAUCGUUUUCAACUGUUUCUGGGUAAAUGCUACGUCUGUGAGCCAAUAAUCAUGUGGUAUUAGUGGUUACGAAUCUUAAGUCGCUGGUGAUUGGCUGUCACAUUUUCGGAGCGCGAGACACGUUUGUCUACUUGACCGUCACUAUAUCAAACUUUGUCAGCUGUAACGUCACUCUUGACGUUGUCAUAAUGCCUAAAAGGUCCAAAGUGUGGCUCCACUUCGCUCAGGUGGACACCAAUAGAGCCAGAUGCUCUAUUUGCCAAAAAGUCGUGCUGGCGAAAGACGGCAACACAUCAAAUCUUGCGAAACAUUUAAUAAUGCACAAGAUUAACCUCCGGUCGGACAGCUGCUCCGUGUUUGACUGUAAAGCUAAGAAAGCUAAGAAGGACGACGGGACUUCAGUCACCAGACCGCCUCCUUCUUCCACAUCGAAUUCUCUAUCGGCUAGUGACCGGGAUUCAGCUGGGAGUUUGGCCAACAACAUUACAGCAGGUGGACGAUGGGGACAGCUCAUGCGAUGAAGCCAGUUCAGCUGCAACAGAGGUAAAUAUUGUCUUGCUCAUUUAAUAUUUUCCAGUUUACAUAUGCAACUAAAUGUUAGGUGGAUAUUCAAAGCAAUGGGGACAAACAUCAAAAUGUGACUUUUUUUAAAUUAAUUUAUUUGAGAAAAUAAAUAUCUCACAAGUGCAAAAGUGAAUCUAUUCUUGCAAAACCCCAUAGCAGAUGCCAUAGAUUCCAUAGGUUUACCUUUACACUUUUCUCAAAUCAAUGAAUUUGAUCUAUACACAACCUUACUCCUUCUUCUUUUUAUUAUCUGCUUAUAGAAACUGACAAAGCUGUCUGCGCUGGAGGAGUUGUUCAUGGAUGAGGACAUAGAGGUGGGAGAGCGGAAUUACCCAAUUGCGAGCCAAAGGGAUAAGGUGAAAGAAGAAAUCCGCCACUACAGAGGUUUGCCAUCAACUUUGUCAACUGUUGAUCCAGUGACCUGGUGGUGGGACAUGAGGGGCACCCUACCAGCACUAUCAAGCUUGGCUGCAAGGUACCUCUGUGUUCAGGCGUCAGCGACACCAUCAGAGCGCACCUUUUCAACGGCUGGCGACACAAUCAGCCAGGAGCGGGCCUGUCUGUUGCCAGACAAGGCAGACAUGCUGAUCUUUCUAAAAAAAAACUGUUGAGUGACUGUUGUCAUGCAAUUUGGACUCUUUGGACAUUUGUUUGCAUCAGUUUUUCUCUUUGUUAUUAUUAUUGCAUUGUUAUUUAUUCAUUCCUUAUUAUAACUGAGUGCCCUCGACUAGGCCCCCAUGCCUAGAUCUCUGUGUAUUUAUGUAUGUGUGUAUUUAUGCAUGUGCUCUCUCUCUCUCUCUCUCUCGCUCUCUCGCUCUCUCUCAGUUCUGAAAAAUAAAUUCUAUAAUUCCUAAUUUGUUUUUGUUGUGGAAAUUGAUUUUUAAAACAUCAGGUAUCGAAAAAAGUAUCGUAUCGAACCGGUAUCGAAACCAAGGUAUCGAAAUUAGCACCGUAUCGAAAUAUUUUGAACGAUACCCACCCCUACUCCUCUGCAAUAAUUCCCAUGAUAACCAAAAUCAUCAAUCAGUCCCUCCAGUCCGGCCAUGUACCCACGUUUCUGAAAACUGCUGUCAUCAAGCCACUACUCAAAAAGCCCAGCCUUGAAGCACCUGCCAACUACUGCCCCAUGUCCAACCUCCCUUUCCUAUCAAAGGUGUUGGAAAAGGUCGUUUCUGCCCAUCUCCACAACCACCUCAUAACAAACAGUCUUUAUGAGAAGUUGCAGUCUGGUUCCCGCUCUGGCCACAGUACGGA